GAUGAACGCUGGCGGCGUGCUUAACACAUGCAAGUCGAACGAUGAAGCCCAGCUUGCUGGGUGGAUUAGUGGCGAACGGGUGAGUAACACGUGAGUAACCUGCCCUUAACUCUGGGAUAAGCCUGGGAAACUGGGUCUAAUACCGGAUAGGAGCGUCCACCGCAUGGUGGGUGUUGGGAAGAUUUAUCGGUUUUGGAUGGACUCGCGGCCUAUCAGCUUGUUGGUGAGGUAAUGGCUCACCAAGGCGACGACGGGUAGCCGGCCUGAGAGGGUGACCGGCCACACUGGGACUGAGACACGGCCCAGACUCCUACGGGAGGCAGCAGUGGGGAAUAUUGCACAAUGGGCGGAAGCCUGAUGCAGCGACGCCGCGUGAGGGAUGACGGCCUUCGGGUUGUAAACCUCUUUCAGUAGGGAAGAAGCGAAAGUGACGGUACCUGCAGAAGAAGCACCGGCUAACUACGUG
This 466-nucleotide ribosomal RNA is filed under the name uncultured bacterium. RNAcentral's name for it is "partial 16S ribosomal RNA". It matches the Rfam family "Bacterial small subunit ribosomal RNA", at positions 28 to 507 of the family's 1533-position model. The record is from RNAcentral.